UGAGGAGGAAAACUAAAAUUCAAAGGGGGAGGAGGGCUUCACUUUCCCCCUAUUUACGCAUGUGCAAGGCAACGAUUUCUCAUGAUUGGAGUUACCAAACAUGGGAAAACAAUUGAUUUCUCAUCUCCAAGUCUCAUUUCCAAUUAACCAAAUGAGGCCUUAGAGCAGUUCCACCGGUCCCUUUUGCCAAAGGGCGCUGCCUUGAAAAGAAUGCCCACACCAAGCACAAAUGGUUCGGGCAGCAG
RNAcentral lists this long non-coding RNA (245 nucleotides) under Prunus persica (peach). RNAcentral describes it as "long non-coding RNA (PPER_LNC003797)". Lineage: Eukaryota; Viridiplantae; Streptophyta; Magnoliopsida; Rosales; Rosaceae. The record is from RNAcentral.